AACGAACGCUGGCGGCAGGCCUAACACAUGCAAGUCGAGCGGACCCUUCGGGGUUAGCGGCGGACGGGUGAGUAACGCGUGGGAAUAUGCCCUUCUCUACGGAAUAGUCCUGGGAAACUGGGGGUAAUACCGUAUACGCCCUUUGGGGGAAAGAUUUAUCGGGGAAGGAUUAGCCCGCGUUGGAUUAGGUAGUUGGUGGGGUAAUGACCUACCAAGCCGACGAUCCAUAGCUGGUUUGAGAGGAUGAUCAGCCACACUGGGACUGAGACACGGCCCAGACUCCUACGGGAGGCAGCAGUGGGGAAUCUUAGACAAUGGGGGCAACCCUGAUCUAGCCAUGCCGCGUGAGUGAUGAAGGCCUUAGGGUUGUAAAGCUCUUUCAGCUGGGAAGAUAAUGACGGUACCAGCAGAAGAAGCCCCGGCUAACUCCGUG
Molecule: ribosomal RNA, 433 nt
Filed under: uncultured bacterium
Lineage: Bacteria
Description: partial 16S ribosomal RNA
Rfam family: Bacterial small subunit ribosomal RNA
Source: RNAcentral